GUCAAUAUAGGAUAUUUUUAUCUACCAUUGCAGUCUACAUCACUUCGGUAUUAACCAUCUCAAGCUAAAAUAUGCCAGACCAUUUGGGCCUUCGUAUAAUGAUGUUGUGAUUUAUUGCACUCUCAGUUUCCAUCCUGCAGCAAUUACCAGAAGAGCUGAUAAUGGUCUGCAAUUUGUUUUCCAGAACUGGGAGUAGCUGCCAGCAAGAGCCGCUCGCAGGGAAAGGUAGUGGCUGUUUACCUGGAUUGCUCAGCCAGACCAGGGAGGACAGACCCACUUGCGUUCUCCAACAGAAGACAGUGACACGACACAAAUGGUAGCACAAGGCUCUUACCAUUCCAUUCAAUAAGUGAGUCUCCAUGGAUGGAUUACAACUCCAAAGAGAGUUGCAAAGAGAGGACAGAAAGAGUGGAAUUAUGCUCCCAAGAAGAAAAAUCCAGAGUAAGAGCACUGGUUUAAUAGACAUAUUUUGGAUUUACACUGGCAUCUUGAAAGCAGAAUCGUCCCCUGUAGAUGUGGCAGUAUCACUGUAGCUCUCUCCAGAAAAUCUACAGCAGGCUUUCUGAAUGCUCGCACUCCUCCAGCCUGUCACAGCCUGUGUGCCGCUACCCGGAGCCCUCCAGACUCCAGCUGGCAGGAUGCCUGCCGUUGUCACCAGUCUACGAGAAGUGGGUUUCAACUGAAAAGCCAACCAUUUAGAAAAAGGCAUUGUUUCACCCACCCUCAGAUCAGGAUCUUUCAAAGCAAUUAAAACUUAAUUCUG
RNAcentral lists this long non-coding RNA (763 nucleotides) under Anas platyrhynchos platyrhynchos (common mallard). RNAcentral's name for it is "lncRNA (ENSAPLG00000018638.1)". The record is from RNAcentral. Lineage: Eukaryota; Metazoa; Chordata; Aves; Anseriformes; Anatidae.